This is a long non-coding RNA of Oncorhynchus keta (chum salmon), 2432 nucleotides long. RefSeq lists it as uncharacterized. Lineage: Eukaryota; Metazoa; Chordata; Actinopteri; Salmoniformes; Salmonidae. The record is from RefSeq and is a predicted model, not a curated record. The transcript has 3 exons.
AUACAAAAACAGGAGUAGUGUCGGGACAUGGAAACAGAGUCAAUAACGCCUGAUGGGAAAUAACAACAGAGGCCAAUAUAUAUGGGGAGUAAUCAGGAAGGUGGUAGAGCCCAGGUGUAACUGAUGAUGAGGCCCAGGUGUAACUGAUGAUGAGGCCCAGGUGUAACUGAUGAGGCCCAGGUGUAACUGAUGAUGAGGCCCAGGUGUAACUGAUGAUGAGGCCCAGGUGUAACUGAUGAUGAGGCCCAGGUGUAACUGAUGAUGAGGCCCAGGUGUAACUGAUGAUGAGGCCCAGGUGUAACUGAUGAUGAGGCCCAGGUGUAACUGAUGAUGAGGCCCAGGUGUAACUGAUGAUGAGGCCCAGGUGUAACUGAUGAUGAGGCCCAGGUGUAACUGAUGAUGAGGCCCAGGUGUAACUGAUGAGGCCCAGGUGUAACUGAUGAUGAGGCCCAGGUGUAACUGAUGAUGAGGCCCAGGUGUAACUGAUGAUGAGGCCCAGGUGUAACUGAUGAUGAGGCCCAGGUGUAACUGAUGAUGAGGCCCAGGUGUAACUGAUGAUGAGGCCCAGGUGUAACUGAUGAUGAGGCCCAGGUGUAACUGAUGAUGAGGCCCAGGUGUAACUGAUGAUGAGGCCCAGGUGUAACUGAUGAUGAGGCCCAGGUGUGCAUAAUGAUGGGCAGCCAGGACCGGUAGUUAGUAAACCGACGACAUCGAACACCGGAGGGGAGGAGCAGGAGUAGACGUGACUAUGUUUCUGCUUAUAAUUUCCAUCAUUUUAAUAGGCUAUUUGUUAGUCAAAGUGUCUAUAGUUAGAUACAGUGGGGCAAAAAAGUAUUUAGUCAGCCACCAAUUGUGCAAGUUCUCCCACUUAAAAAGAUGAGAGGCCUGUAAUUUCCAUCAUAGGUACACUUCAACUAUGACAGACAAAAUGAGAAAAACAUCCAGAAAAAUCACAUUGUAGGAUUUUUUAAUGAAUUUAUUUGCAAAGUAUGGUGUGUAGACACAAUAGUUAAUGACCUUAAACCUGCACAUCACUGAUUACUUUACUGCCUUGCUGCAUACAUAUGCCCUGUUUUAGAAUAUCUUUAUUCUGUAUAUUUGUAUUAUUUUUACUCUGUCAUUUAGGUCAUUAUUGUGGAGUCACUACCAUGUUGUUGAUCCAUCCUCAGUUUUCUCCCAUCACGACCAUUGAACUCUGUAGCUGUUUUGAAAUUACCAAUGGCCUCAAUGUUGCCAUCCCUGAACAGUUUCCUUCCUGUCCUGCAGCUCAGUUCAGAAGGACAACUUUGUGUGUGGGUGGUUUAAUACAUCAUCCACGGCAUCAUUAUUAACUUGACCAUGCUUAAAUAGGUAUUCAAUAUUUGAUUUGUUGUUGUUACCCAUCUACCAAUCACUGCCUUUCUUUAUGAGGCUUUCGCAAAGCUCCCUGGUCUUUGUAGUUGUAUCUGUUUGAAAUUCAAUAGUUGACUGAGGGACCCUACAGAUGUUGUGUGUAUGGGGGACAGAGGCAGGAGUAGUCAUUUUUAAAAAAUCAUGUCAACCCCUAUUAUUUCACACAGAAUGCGCCUAUGUAACUUAUCAUGUGAUUUUGUUGAGCCAAAUUUGACUUUUGAACUAAUUUAGGUAUCUAAAGGAAAAGGGUGAAUAUUUAUGCAACAACUAUAUAUUUUAGUUAUUUAAUUGUUAUUCAUUUGUAAAUCUUUUUCACUUUGACAGAGUAUUUUGUAUAGAUCAAAGACCCAAAAGUACAAUUAAAUCCAUUUGAAUUCGUAACGCAACAAAAUGUGAAAAAAGUUCAACAGGAUGUAGGCUUUCAACAGGAUGUAGGCCCUGUAUAUUAAAGUACUCUUCAUUUAACAAAAUCUAUAUUUGUGCACAAUUUCUAUUUAAAAUAUUUAUUUUUAAAAAACACUUCAUUGAAACGACCCAUCUAUUACUGUUGGCCAACAACCAACCAAUCACUUGUCAGACCAUCACCGAUGAUUAUCUAUGUUUAUCAACACUAAUUACGUCUCAAAUGUGUAGUAUAUUUGUCUGUGAAAUUCAGACAAUUUAUACAUUCCACAUAAUUGGUUUUACAAAGAGAGGAUUAAAGACACUGGUAUUUUAAGCCUGCAUUUAAAAUAAUGCAAUCUGGGAGGGUAGUGGGAGAGCAGAGCGAGAGCAAUAGCAUGUUUCCAGACUGCAUUCUUCAGACCUGGAUGCCAGAGCAGUGUUUGGGUUGGCUCACGCGUCAGCCUUAGGCCUAGACUUCUGACUAUUAGAUUUGAAAUCCAGCUGUGUUUUUAAUUCGAUGAGAGAGUGCAUCGUCACACUCAUUGUUUCUUGAUAUGAUUUAAUAUAGUGACACUAUAAACCAUCUGGUACAUAAAGAUUUCAUCCACCAGCCAGCUCUUUCUCUUCUGAGAUUGAGCCUGGGGAUGAGAUUAGUU